Molecule: ribosomal RNA, 371 nt
Filed under: uncultured bacterium
Lineage: Bacteria
Description: bacterial SSU rRNA
Rfam family: Bacterial small subunit ribosomal RNA
Source: RNAcentral
AUUGAACGCUGGCGGCAUGCCUUACACAUGCAAGUCGAACGGCAGCGCGGGAGCAAUCCUGGCGGCGAGUGGCGAACGGGUAGUAAUAUAUCGGAACGUGCCCAGUAGUGGGGAGUACCGGCGAAGACCGGUUAAUACCGCAUGAGACCUGAGGGUGGAAAGACGGGGGAGUCGCAAGACCUCGCGCUAUUGGAGCGGCCGAUAUCAGAUUAGCUAGUUGGUGGGGUAAAGGGACCUACCCAAGGCAACGAAUCUGUAGUUGGUCUGAGAGGACGACCAGCCACACUGGGACUGAGACACGGCCCACGACUCCUACGGGAGGCAGCAGUGGGGAAUUUUGGUACAAUGGGCGGCAAGCCUGAUCCAGCAAU